Molecule: ribosomal RNA, 2904 nt
Filed under: Escherichia coli JB1-95
Lineage: Bacteria; Pseudomonadati; Pseudomonadota; Gammaproteobacteria; Enterobacterales; Enterobacteriaceae
Description: bacterial LSU rRNA
Rfam family: Bacterial large subunit ribosomal RNA
Source: RNAcentral
GGUUAAGCGACUAAGCGUACACGGUGGAUGCCCUGGCAGUCAGAGGCGAUGAAGGACGUGCUAAUCUGCGAUAAGCGUCGGUAAGGUGAUAUGAACCGUUAUAACCGGCGAUUUCCGAAUGGGGAAACCCAGUGUGAUUCGUCACACUAUCAUUAACUGAAUCCAUAGGUUAAUGAGGCGAACCGGGGGAACUGAAACAUCUAAGUACCCCGAGGAAAAGAAAUCAACCGAGAUUCCCCCAGUAGCGGCGAGCGAACGGGGAGGAGCCCAGAGCCUGAAUCAGUGUGUGUGUUAGUGGAAGCGUCUGGAAAGGCGCGCGAUACAGGGUGACAGCCCCGUACACAAAAAUGCACAUGCUGUGAGCUCGAUGAGUAGGGCGGGACACGUGGUAUCCUGUCUGAAUAUGGGGGGACCAUCCUCCAAGGCUAAAUACUCCUGACUGACCGAUAGUGAACCAGUACCGUGAGGGAAAGGCGAAAAGAACCCCGGCGAGGGGAGUGAAAAAGAACCUGAAACCGUGUACGUACAAGCAGUGGGAGCACGCUUAGGCGUGUGACUGCGUACCUUUUGUAUAAUGGGUCAGCGACUUAUAUUCUGUAGCAAGGUUAACCGAAUAGGGGAGCCGAAGGGAAACCGAGUCUUAACUGGGCGUUAAGUUGCAGGGUAUAGACCCGAAACCCGGUGAUCUAGCCAUGGGCAGGUUGAAGGUUGGGUAACACUAACUGGAGGACCGAACCGACUAAUGUUGAAAAAUUAGCGGAUGACUUGUGGCUGGGGGUGAAAGGCCAAUCAAACCGGGAGAUAGCUGGUUCUCCCCGAAAGCUAUUUAGGUAGCGCCUCGUGAAUUCAUCUCCGGGGGUAGAGCACUGUUUCGGCAAGGGGGUCAUCCCGACUUACCAACCCGAUGCAAACUGCGAAUACCGGAGAAUGUUAUCACGGGAGACACACGGCGGGUGCUAACGUCCGUCGUGAAGAGGGAAACAACCCAGACCGCCAGCUAAGGUCCCAAAGUCAUGGUUAAGUGGGAAACGAUGUGGGAAGGCCCAGACAGCCAGGAUGUUGGCUUAGAAGCAGCCAUCAUUUAAAGAAAGCGUAAUAGCUCACUGGUCGAGUCGGCCUGCGCGGAAGAUGUAACGGGGCUAAACCAUGCACCGAAGCUGCGGCAGCGACGCUGAUGCGUUGUUGGGUAGGGGAGCGUUCUGUAAGCCUGUGAAGGUGUGCUGUGAGGCAUGCUGGAGGUAUCAGAAGUGCGAAUGCUGACAUAAGUAACGAUAAAGCGGGUGAAAAGCCCGCUCGCCGGAAGACCAAGGGUUCCUGUCCAACGUUAAUCAGGGCAGGGUGAGUCGACCCCUAAGGCGAGGCCGAAAGGCGUAGUCGAUGGGAAACAGGUUAAUAUUCCUGUACUUGGUGUUACUGCGAAGGGGGGACGGAGAAGGCUAUGUUGGCCGGGCGACGGUUGUCCCGGUUUAAGCGUGUAGGCUGGUUUUCCAGGCAAAUCCGGAAAACUAAGGCUGAGGCGUGAUGACGAGGCACUACGGUGCUGAAGCAACAAAUGCCCUGCUUCCAGGAAAAGCCUCUAAGCAUCAGGUAACAUCAAAUCGUACCCCAAACCGACACAGGUGGUCAGGUAGAGAAUACCAAGGCGCUUGAGAGAACUCGGGUGAAGGAACUAGGCAAAAUGGUGCCGUAACUUCGGGAGAAGGCACGCUGAUAUGUAGGUGAAGUCCCUCGCGGAUGGAGCUGAAAUCAGUCGAAGAUACCAGCUGGCUGCAACUGUUUAUUAAAAACACAGCACUGUGCAAACACGAAAGUGGACGUAUACGGUGUGACGCCUGCCCGGUGCCGGAAGGUUAAUUGAUGGGGUCAGCGCAAGCGAAGCUCUUGAUCGAAGCCCCGGUAAACGGCGGCCGUAACUAUAACGGUCCUAAGGUAGCGAAAUUCCUUGUCGGGUAAGUUCCGACCUGCACGAAUGGCGUAAUGAUGGCCAGGCUGUCUCCACCCGAGACUCAGUGAAAUUGAACUCGCUGUGAAGAUGCAGUGUACCCGCGGCAAGACGGAAAGACCCCGUGAACCUUUACUAUAGCUUGACACUGAACAUUGAGCCUUGAUGUGUAGGAUAGGUGGGAGGCUUUGAAGUGUGGACGCCAGUCUGCAUGGAGCCGACCUUGAAAUACCACCCUUUAAUGUUUGAUGUUCUAACGUUGACCCGUAAUCCGGGUUGCGGACAGUGUCUGGUGGGUAGUUUGACUGGGGCGGUCUCCUCCUAAAGAGUAACGGAGGAGCACGAAGGUUGGCUAAUCCUGGUCGGACAUCAGGAGGUUAGUGCAAUGGCAUAAGCCAGCUUGACUGCGAGCGUGACGGCGCGAGCAGGUGCGAAAGCAGGUCAUAGUGAUCCGGUGGUUCUGAAUGGAAGGGCCAUCGCUCAACGGAUAAAAGGUACUCCGGGGAUAACAGGCUGAUACCGCCCAAGAGUUCAUAUCGACGGCGGUGUUUGGCACCUCGAUGUCGGCUCAUCACAUCCUGGGGCUGAAGUAGGUCCCAAGGGUAUGGCUGUUCGCCAUUUAAAGUGGUACGCGAGCUGGGUUUAGAACGUCGUGAGACAGUUCGGUCCCUAUCUGCCGUGGGCGCUGGAGAACUGAGGGGGGCUGCUCCUAGUACGAGAGGACCGGAGUGGACGCAUCACUGGUGUUCGGGUUGUCAUGCCAAUGGCACUGCCCGGUAGCUAAAUGCGGAAGAGAUAAGUGCUGAAAGCAUCUAAGCACGAAACUUGCCCCGAGAUGAGUUCUCCCUGACUCCUUGAGAGUCCUGAAGGAACGUUGAAGACGACGACGUUGAUAGGCCGGGUGUGUAAGCGCAGCGAUGCGUUGAGCUAACCGGUACUAAUGAACCGUGAGGCUUAACCUU